CCUACGGGUGGCAGCAGUGGGGGAUAUUGCACAAUGGGGGCAACCCUGAUGCAGCGACGCCGCGUGAGCGAUGGAGUACUUCGGUAUGUAAAGCUCUGUCAGCAGGGAAGAGAAUGACGGUACCUGACCAAGAAGCCCCGGCUAAAUACGUGCCAGCAGCCGCGGUAAUACGUAUGGGGCAAGCGUUAUCCGGAUUUACUGGGUGUAAGGGAGCGUAGGCGGCAGGGCAAGCCUGAUGUGAAAGCCCGGGGCUCAACCCCGGGACUGCAUUGGGAACUGCCCCGCUCGAGUGCCGGAGGGGCAGGCGGAAUUCCUAGUGUAGCGGUGAAAUGCAUAGAUAUCACGCAGAACUCCGAUUGCGAAGGCAGCAUACCGGCGCCCGACUGACGCUGAAGCACGAAAGCGUGGGUAUCGAACAGGAUUAGAUACCCCUGUAGUC
Molecule: ribosomal RNA, 439 nt
Filed under: uncultured bacterium
Lineage: Bacteria
Description: partial 16S ribosomal RNA
Rfam family: Bacterial small subunit ribosomal RNA
Source: RNAcentral